Molecule: ribosomal RNA, 206 nt
Filed under: uncultured bacterium
Lineage: Bacteria
Description: partial 16S ribosomal RNA
Rfam family: Bacterial small subunit ribosomal RNA
Source: RNAcentral
UCUGUAGGUGGCUUGCUAAGUCAGACGUGAAAUCCCUCAGCUUAACUGGGGAACUGCGUCUGAUACUGGCAAGCUUGAGUGCAGGAGAGGAACGCGGAAUUCCAGGUGUAGCGGUGAAAUGCGUAGAUAUCUGGAGGAACACCGGUGGCGAAGGCGGCGUUCUGGACUGCAACUGACACUGAGAGACGAAAGCCAGGGAGCAAACG